Felis catus (domestic cat) is the source of this 2416-nucleotide RNA transcript. It is a transcript of the gene named serine/arginine repetitive matrix protein 1-like, with no coding region annotated. NCBI's taxonomy places the organism in Eukaryota, Metazoa, Chordata, Mammalia, Carnivora, Felidae. The transcript is spliced from 4 exons. The record is from RefSeq and is a predicted model, not a curated record.
GAGGAGGCGGGCGUGCGUGUGAGGGUGUGAGAAAGGGAGAAAGAGAGAGAAAGAGUGUAUGCGUGUGUGUGUAGGCGGCCGCGGUGGCAGCGCAGGCGGCUAGGCUCCGGCCCUAAGCGCAGCGGAAGCCGGGAGGGAUGCAGGCGGCGGGGACCUUGGCCGGUGUAGGAUGCGGCGGUGGAAGUGGAGCGGCUGGCGCUCCCCAGGAGCUCCGCAACGCGAGGUUUCGGGCUCGUGGCUUUGCUUCCUCUGGGUCCCCUCUCCAGGGCCCCUCCGCAAGACGAAGAUGCCGAGGAGAGCGCCGCGGGGAGGGCGCUUCGGGCCGUGCGCGCAGCGCCCACAAAGGGCAGCAGUCCCGCCGCCCGGAGCCUCUGCUGCGUGGGGGCUGAGGGCCGCUUCCCGGCCCCCCGGAGAGUUGGAGACUGUUCUCUGGCCUCGGCCGCGCGGGGGUGAGGUCGGGGGUCGGCGCGGCCGCUACUGCCCCGGCUCCGUCCGGCGCAGCUGCCGCCGCGGCCGCCCCUGGUGCCUGCGCGCCAGCACCCGCCUGCCGGUCCUUGCCCGGCGCCGCUCACUCGCGCGCGCCGCCCCACCCCCCGCCGCCGCCGCCGCCGCCGCCGCCGCCGCCCGCGCACCCUGCUCGGCCUCAGCGAGCGCGACCGACGCGAGUCGCAGCCGCCACCGCCGCUCUCCCCGCGCUCGCCGCACGCGCUGCCAGGCUGCGCGGCCCUCUCUCUUCUCCUCUCCUCUCCCCGCCCGCUGCCGCCGCCACCGCCGCCGCCGCCCUCGCCCCCGCCUCCCUCCUCCGCCGAGCUUCCCCGCCCGCGUCGUGGCCAAUCGGAGGCCACCGAGCUGCGGCUGUAGCCGGCCAGAUCCACGGCAGCCGUCCGCCCCCGCCCUGCCGAAGCACCCCGUUUUUGCUGCAGCCCGCGGGGGGUCGCCGGAGGGAAGUCUGGGUAUUACAGGUAAAUAAAAAUACCGGUUUUAUCUAAGCGUUUCCAUACUCUGGAGGUCGUCGAACUUCGUUGCAGUUACUGAACAUUAUUCCUCUGCUUUGGGUUUUUGGGGUUUUUGUGCUUUUAGUAUUUGAAAAUCAAACUCAAUAUUUCCAUGGAAAAUAUAACCAAUUUUUUAGUCUGCACUGCGUAGUGUGGAUCAUGACACCUACUGGCAGCAUAGAAUUUUGCACCCUAGUUCCAUAAGACACUGAAGCCCCUGUUACUUAAGACAGGUAAGGAUAUUUCAAAUCUAUGCUUGUGUUAUGAGUCAAUAAUAAACUCUACUGGAAAAAUUGUAUCUUGGAGUAUGACUUUUGGUUUGGAUAGGCUACAUUUUGCUGUGCUAACAAACAUGGCCUAAAACUCAGGGGCUUAAAUUAACAAAGAUUUAAUUCUUGCACAUACUGCAUGUCUGUUACAAGUUAUUAGUGAUGAAAAGUGUGAAAUGAAGGUUGAAAGUCAAUUCCAUCUCCAGCUGCACUGUUACCUACCAGCCUAGCGUUCCCAGGAGAGUCACUCAUUGAUUCGAGACAUCUUUUUUUGUCUGUUGAGCAGGGUCUUUCCAUGUCUGUGUCAGUUGUGCUACUUUAAUUGUUACAGCUUUAUAAAUAUAUUUUUUAAGCUUAUUUAUUUAGUUUGAGAGAAAGAGAGAGCAAGAGCAAGUAAGCAGGGGAGAGGCAGAGAGAGAGGGAGAGAGAGAAUCCCAAACAGGCUCCGCACCCUCAGCACAGAGCCCCAUGUGGGCUCACAAACUGUGAGAUCAUAAGCCGAGCUGAAACCAAGGGUUAGGCGCUUAACCAACUGAGCCACCCAGGUGCCCCAACUGUUACAGUUUUAUAAUAAGCUUCCUAUAUGGGAAGACUUAUCUCUUCCUCUAAUUGUUGUUUUAAAAAAUUCUGUGUUUUUCUUACUUGAUUAUUCUUCUGGGAGAAGUUUACAAUAUUUUUUGUUAAAUUACCUUGAAUUACAGUUGUUUUUUGUUUGGAUGGCAUUAAAUUAUGCAUUAAUUUGGUAAUAACUGUAAAAUAUUUAGUCUUCUAUAUAUGUCCUUUAUAUAUCUCAAAAAUAUUUGUAAUAUUAUUCAUAUGUUAAAUGCAUUUUAUUAAAAUAGGUCCUUGCCAUCCUAUUUUUGUUACAACAAUAAAUAAAAUUUAUUUACACAAUUUUAUUUCCACAUUUGCUAUUACCUGCAUAUAAGCAUGCUAUUGAUUUUGUAUUUUUCUCUUAUAAUAAAUAAUUGUAUAAAAUUUUCAUAUGAUGUCAUUUUGCAUUUAUUUAAAUGUCUUGCAUUUAUAGCUCUUAGCUUUGUGUCAUGUCUUCCAGCACAGAACAAAGCAUUCUAAAAAGGACAUCAUUAUUAUUUUUUUCCACAUUUAAUAGCAGUCUUCUUUGGGUUUAACCAUUUGAAGUGUAUUAUGGUG